RNAcentral lists this ribosomal RNA (207 nucleotides) under uncultured bacterium. RNAcentral describes it as "partial 16S ribosomal RNA". It matches the Rfam family "Bacterial small subunit ribosomal RNA", at positions 568 to 774 of the family's 1533-position model. The record is from RNAcentral.
UGCGUAGGCGGGCUUUUAAGUCAGUGGUGAAAACUCCGAGCUUAACUCGGAAACUGCCGUUGAUACUAUUAGUCUUGAAUUUAGUUGAGGUUGGCGGAAUGUGUCGUGUAGCGGUGAAAUGCUUAGAUAUGACACAGAACACCGAUUGCGAAGGCAGCUGGCUAAACUAAAAUUGACGCUGAGGCACGAAAGUGUGGGGAUCAAACA